GAAAUGCGAUAAGUAAUGUGAAUUGCAGAAUUCAGUGAAUCAUCGAAUCUUUGAACGCAUCUUGCGCUCCUUGGUAUUCCUUGGAGCAUGCCUGUUUGAGUAUCAUGAAAUCUUCAAAGUAAAUCUUUUGUUAACUCAAUUGGUUUCUACUUUGGUAUUGGAGGUCUUUGCAGCUUCACACCUGCUCCUCUUUGUUCAUUAGCUGGAUCUCAGUGUUAUGCUUGGUUCCACUCGGCGUGAUAAGUUAUCUAUCGCUGAGGACACUGUAAAAGGUGGCCAAGGUAAAUGCAGGUGAACCGCUUCUAAUAGUCCAUUGACUUGGACAAUACUUUUAUGAUCUGAUCUCAAAUCAGGUAGGACUACCCGCUGAACUUAAGC
RNAcentral lists this unclassified non-coding RNA (378 nucleotides) under plant metagenome. RNAcentral describes it as "partial contains 5.8S ribosomal RNA, internal transcribed spacer 2, and large subunit ribosomal RNA". The stretch from base 1 to 105 matches the Rfam family "5.8S ribosomal RNA", at positions 50 to 154 of the family's 154-position model. The record is from RNAcentral.